UAAAAAUCGUAACAAGGUCUCCGUUGGUGAACCAGCGGAGGGAUCAUUGCUGGAACGCGCCCCAGGCGCACCCAGAAACCCUUUGUGAACUUAUACCUUACUGUUGCCUCGGCGCAUGCCGGCCCCCCUGGGGGCCCCUCCUUCUGGAGGAGCAGGCACGCCGGCGGCCAACCUAACUCUUGUUUUUACACUGAAACUCUGAGAAUAAAACAUAAAUGAAUCAAAACUUUCAACAACGGAUCUCUUGGUUCUGGCAUCGAUGAAGAACGCAGCGAAAUGCGAUAAGUAAUGUGAAUUGCAGAAUUCAGUGAAUCAUCGAAUCUUUGAACGCACAUUGCGCCCUCUGGUAUUCCGGAGGGCAUGCCUGUUCGAGCGUCAUUUCAACCCUCAAGCCUGGCUUGGUGAUGGGGCACUGCUUUUACCCAAGAGCAGGCCCUGAAAUUCAGUGGCGAGCUCGCCAGGACCCCGAGCGCAGUAGUUAAACCCUCGCUCUGGAAGGCCCUGGCGGUGCCCUGCCGUUAAACCCCCAACUUCUGAAAAUUGACCUCGGAUCAGGAGAAUACCCG
RNAcentral lists this ribosomal RNA (566 nucleotides) under Phomopsis sp. G28B. RNAcentral's name for it is "eukaryotic LSU rRNA". The stretch from base 225 to 378 matches the Rfam family "5.8S ribosomal RNA". The record is from RNAcentral. Lineage: Eukaryota; Fungi; Ascomycota; Sordariomycetes; Diaporthales; Diaporthaceae.